AUGCGGAUUUAUUUGGUUCAGUUUGCUAUACUUUUCAGCAUGGACAGUUUCAUAAGCGAUAUGGUGAUCUAACUCGAGUUGAUGCUUGUUUGGACAUAUUUUCACUCUCAUCAUUUGCCAAAAGAGUUUUCAAAGGUUCUUCUAGUGCAGACAAAUCUCAAUUAUCUCCCAGACUAAAUUUGAUCUUUCAACAGCAGGUUGAGGGCCAAUAGUGUUUCGAGUGGAUUCAAAGUUGUUGCUUGAUUCUAAGGAUGAGAAACGAGGCCCUCAUAUUGAAGAUGUCAUAUACAGUCUGUGCUACUCAUUGAGGCUUCUGCGUUCUGGAAAAGUUGUUGCUUGGUAUUCUCCAAAGAGAAAGGAAGGGAUGAUAGAAUUGCGCCUUUUUGAAUUCUAAAUCAUGUUGUGUCAUCUUUAGUUUCCUAUGAUUGUUUCUGUUCAGAACACAAACUAUCUUGUGGGGGCAAAUACUUUAACAUAAGCAAAUUUCUUCAUCUGAUUAGUAGAGUAUGAGAUUGUUGUGAAGUAUUGCAGCUGAAAUACCAUCUUUAUUGCCCUUUUUUU
This is a long non-coding RNA of Hibiscus syriacus, 561 nucleotides long. RefSeq lists it as uncharacterized. The record is from RefSeq and is a predicted model, not a curated record. The transcript is spliced from 2 exons. NCBI's taxonomy places the organism in Eukaryota, Viridiplantae, Streptophyta, Magnoliopsida, Malvales, Malvaceae.